CUUCCUAAAAGCAAUCAAAUACAGCACAUCUUAAGAAAUUUAACUCACAUACACAUGAGCAGGAAACAGGAAACGUACUUGUUCCUGUAAAACAGGGAGAAACUAAAAUUGAGAAUCAUGCCUAAUCACAAAAAAUGUAUCAUACAGAAACAAAACUUCAUGCUGUUUUUUGUCCUGUUUCUCACGGCAGGAUCUCCCAGAUAUGGCACUGCAAAUGAAGAAGCUUCAGGAGAUGGUUCACCAGCAUUGAAUAUCAAAGUAACACCUAGACCAGAGACAUCUGCAGAAUAUUUUACAACUGCAGGUGACCAUGAUCUGAAACCUGCCAUCAAACCAACAGAGAUUGAGAUAAAUGUUGAAACAGGAAAUAAUGCAAGUACUGGGUUAAAUGAUAUGAAUAAUGACAACACCCCAGAAAUGGCAGAUGUACAGCCUGCCUUAAUGUUUGGCAUUCCUGUGGUGAUACUAGUCCUACUAAUUCUGCUGAUCAUUUUCUUUGUGAUACGUCAUACAAGGAAAAAGUCUAAGCAAGAUGAACUGGGAAGUGAAAAUGUCAAAAGUCCUAUUUUUGAAGAAGACACACCCUCUGUUAUGGAAAUAGAAAUGGAAGAGCUCGAUAAAUGGAUGAAUAGCAUGAACAAAAAUGGUACUGGUAACCCUCCAAUCAUUUCUCUCUCUGUGUCUGAGGUAGCCCCAUGAAUAGAAAAAAUACCACAGAGCUAUUUUAUAUUUGUGUUGCUACUUUUCCUAAAACAUUUUUAGUCCUGAUCUUAAGCCUACAAUACUAGAAUAGUUGCACAAGCAAAUAUCAGGAGUAUUUUAGGCUGGGUGGAUGCUUAUUUUUAUCAAAUGAUGGGAUACUAUAGAUAUAGUACCAUAAAGGUUUCAGUUUUCAGUAGAAGCUUUUAUUAAACACGUAUACUGUAUUUAUAUUUUUAAAUAAAAAUUGCUUUUUAGGGGUACAUAAUUGUCUCUUUAAAAGAUCUGGCUCUCUCAGUAUUCAGUGUGACUGCACUAGUGUGCUGCAUAUUGUGCCAUUCUAAGAGAAAUCACUGUUUACUCAUAGCCCAUAGCACUAUUUACUUAUUACACUGCUGCCAGGAUCAUCUUCCUGGCUCAUCACUAUGACUACAUCACCUCCCUUUGCAUCCCUUCCACUGGCUCCUUAUCCUCUACUGCAUCAAACACAAGCUCCUUCUUUUUGCCUUUUAUGCCCUUCACCAUUUAGAUUCACCUUAUCUGUCAGAAAUACUGCUUAUCAAGCUGUGAGCCUCCACCAUUAAUUUCUCAGUGAUCCACUUCUCCCUGAAGCACCUCUGUGCUUUCUCCCAGGCUGUCCCUGGUGCAUGAGAAGAGCUCCCAGUCAAAAUUCUCAAACGCCGCCUUCAAGUCAGUUCUCAAAACUCAUCUCUUCCUUAAUGCACAGAGUUAACUGCAACCUGAUUUCAGCUACACAGAUGGCACAUUGUGAUUACUGCUCCAGACUGGCUAAGAAUUGCACAUAUUCUAAUAUUUUUGUUGCCCAUCCCUUGACCCAGGCCCCAAAAUGCUUGUUUGCUUCAUCCUCUUAUUAUAUCUUGUCUUUCAGAUGGUAAGCUCUUUUGGUAGACACCUAUCAUUUCCUGUAGCUGAUGGUGAAUGUUUACCUACUGUAAAAGAAGAAGAAAAGGAAUCAAAUGUCUUCACAAG
RNA transcript from Trachemys scripta elegans, 1689 nucleotides. It is a transcript of the gene named transmembrane protein 154, with no coding region annotated. Lineage: Eukaryota; Metazoa; Chordata; Testudines; Emydidae. The transcript has 5 exons. The record is from RefSeq and is a predicted model, not a curated record.